Molecule: ribosomal RNA, 445 nt
Filed under: uncultured Acholeplasma sp.
Lineage: Bacteria; Bacillati; Mycoplasmatota; Mollicutes; Acholeplasmatales; Acholeplasmataceae
Description: bacterial SSU rRNA
Rfam family: Bacterial small subunit ribosomal RNA
Source: RNAcentral
CGGUGGAGCAUGUGGUUAAUUCGACGCAACGCGAAGAACCUUACCAGGUCUUGACAUCCCCUGCAAAGCUAUGGAGACAUAGUGGAGGUUAUCAGGGAGACAGGUGGUGCAUGGUGUCGUCAGCUCGUGUCGUGAGAUGUUGGGUUAAGUCCCGCAACGAGCGCAACCCUUAUUGCUAGUUACCAUCAUUAAGUUGGGGACUCUAGCGAGACUGCCAGUGAUAAACUGGAGGAAGGUGGGGAUGACGUCAAAUCAUCAUGCCCCUUAUGACCUGGGCUACAAACGUGAUACAAUGGCUGAAACAAAGGGCAGCGAAGGAGCGAUCUGGAGCGAAACCCAAAAAAGCAGUCUCAGUUCGGAUUGAAGUCUGCAACUCGACUUCAUGAAGUCGGAAUCGCUAGUAAUCGCGGAUCAGAAUGCCACGGUGAAUACGUUCCCGGGCCUU